GCUGGGGUGGCCGAGUCAGGACCAAGGCGGUAGCCUCGAGAGCUACUGGGCUUUAUGUCCGCGCAGGUUCAAAUCCUGCCCCCAGCG
This 87-nucleotide transfer RNA is filed under the name Thermoplasmata archaeon. RNAcentral's name for it is "tRNA-Ser". It matches the Rfam family "tRNA". Rfam says of the family: Transfer RNA (tRNA) molecules are approximately 80 nucleotides in length. Their secondary structure includes four short double-helical elements and three loops (D, anti-codon, and T loops). Further hydrogen bonds mediate the characteristic L-shaped molecular structure. tRNAs have two regions of fundamental functional importance: the anti-codon, which is responsible for specific mRNA codon recognition, and the 3' end, to which the tRNAs corresponding amino acid is attached (by aminoacyl-tRNA synthetases). tRNAs cope with the degeneracy of the genetic code in two manners: having more than one tRNA (with a specific anti-codon) for a particular amino acid; and 'wobble' base-pairing, i.e. permitting non-standard base-pairing at the 3rd anti-codon position. RNAcentral also lists the same sequence under 1 other name. Lineage: Archaea; Methanobacteriati; Thermoplasmatota; Thermoplasmata. The record is from RNAcentral.